GGUCUGUCCCUGAUGCUGCGCGCAGAGCAGAAUGACUUCAUUCCCCUGCUGUCCACAGUGACUGGGGCCCGGGUAAUGGUGCACGGGCAGGAUGAACCUGCCUUUAUGGAUGAUGGUGGCUUUAACUUGCGGCCUGGCGUGGAGACCUCCAUCAGCAUGAGGAAGGAAACCCUGGACAGACUUGGGGGCGAUUAUGGCGACUGCACCAAGAAUGGCAGUGAUGUUCCUGUCGAGAACCUUUACCCUUCAAAGUACACACAGCAGGUGUGUAUUCACUCCUGCUUCCAGGAGAGCAUGAUCAAGGAGUGUGGCUGUGCCUACAUCUUCUAUCCGCGGCCCCAGAACGUGGAGUACUGUGACUACAGAAAGCACAGUUCCUGGGGCCGGGCGCGGUGGCUCACGCCUGUAAUGCCAGCACUUUGGGAGGCCAAGGCGGGCGGAUCACGAGGUCAGGAGAUCGAGACCAUCCUGGCUAACACGGUGAAACCCCGUCUCUACUAAAAAUACAAAAAAUUAGCCGGGCGAGGUGGCGGGCGCCUGUAGUCCCAGCUAC
Molecule: small RNA, 553 nt
Filed under: Pan troglodytes (chimpanzee)
Lineage: Eukaryota; Metazoa; Chordata; Mammalia; Primates; Hominidae
Description: processed transcript
Source: RNAcentral